This 491-nucleotide ribosomal RNA is filed under the name uncultured bacterium. Its description in RNAcentral is "partial 16S ribosomal RNA". It matches the Rfam family "Bacterial small subunit ribosomal RNA", at positions 29 to 507 of the family's 1533-position model. The record is from RNAcentral.
AGUGAACGCUGGCGGUAGGCCUAACACAUGCAAGUCGAACGGCAGCACAGUAAGAGCUUGCUCUUACGGGUGGCGAGUGGCGGACGGGUGAGGAAUACAUCGGAAUCUACUUUUUCGUGGGGGAUAACGUAGGGAAACUUACGCUAAUACCGCAUACGACCUACGGGUGAAAGCAGGGGAUCUUCGGACCUUGCGCGAUUGAAUGAGCCGGUGUCGGAUUAGCUAGUUGGCGGGGUAAAGGCCCACCAAGGCGACGAUCCGUAGCUGGUCUGAGAGGAUGGUCAGCCACACUGGAACUGAGACACGGUCCAGACUCCUACGGGAGGCAGCGGUGGGGAAGAGUGGAAAAUGGGCGCAAGCCUGAUCAGCCAUACCGCGUGGGUGAAGAAGGCCUUCGGGUUGUAAAGCCCUUUUGUUGGGAAAGAAAAGCAGCAGGUUAAUACCCCGCUGUUCUGACGGUACCCAAAGAAUAAGCACCGGCUAACUUCGUG